RNAcentral lists this ribosomal RNA (301 nucleotides) under uncultured bacterium. RNAcentral describes it as "partial 16S ribosomal RNA". It matches the Rfam family "Bacterial small subunit ribosomal RNA", at positions 509 to 807 of the family's 1533-position model. The record is from RNAcentral.
CAGUCGCCACGGUAAUACGGAGGGAGCUAGCGUUGUUCGGAAUUACUGGGCGUAAAGCGCGCGUAGGCGGUUACUCAAGUCAGAGGUGAAAGCCCGGGGCUCAACCCCGGAACUGCCUUUGAAACUAGGUGGCUAGAAUCUUGGAGAGGUCAGUGGAAUUCCGAGUGUAGAGGUGAAAUUCGUAGAUAUUCGGAAGAACACCAGUGGCGAAGGCGACUGACUGGACAAGUAUUGACGCUGAGGUGCGAAAGCGUGGGGAGCAAACAGGAUUAGAUACCCCCGUAGUCCCUGUCUCUUAUAC